UCUAGGUGUCAUGGACACUAACACAGAACAUGAAAUACGAAACACGACACGACUCGGAUACCACGAUUCGACAACUUUCAAAAAAUUAGAACACGGACACAACAUAGACACUGCUAAUAAAAUAUAAUAUUAUUAAUAUAAUAAUAUAUUUUUAUUAUAUAUAAAAUAUUAAUUUUAAUAAAAUAUUAUUAUAUUUCUCAUACGAGCGAAAGUUCGUAAAAUUUUCAUUGAUAGUUCAUACAUUUUAAGAAAAGAAAUUAUCCACUAUACAUAAUUUAUUUUAUUGACAAAAAAAAAAUUUGUAUGCAUUCAUUAAAAGACUAAAAUAUUUAUCAUCUUAUAUUACAUAUGCAUAGAAAAAAUAAAAUAAAUAUAUAUAUGGU
RNAcentral lists this long non-coding RNA (383 nucleotides) under Ananas comosus (pineapple). Its description in RNAcentral is "long non-coding RNA (ACOM_LNC041000)". Lineage: Eukaryota; Viridiplantae; Streptophyta; Magnoliopsida; Poales; Bromeliaceae. The record is from RNAcentral.